Molecule: ribosomal RNA, 465 nt
Filed under: uncultured bacterium
Lineage: Bacteria
Description: partial 16S ribosomal RNA
Rfam family: Bacterial small subunit ribosomal RNA
Source: RNAcentral
GACGAACGCUGGCGGCGUGCUUAACACAUGCGAGUCGUACGGUAAGGCCCUUUCGGGGGUACACGAGUGGCGAACGGGUGAGUAACACGUGAGUAACCUGCCCACAACUUUGGGAUAACGCUAGGAAACUGGUGCUAAUACUGGAUAUGUGCUCCUGCUGCAUGGUGGGGGUUGGAAAGCUCCGGCGGUUGUGGAUGGACUCGCGGCCUAUCAGCUUGUUGGUGGGGUAGUGGCCUACCAAGGCGGCGACGGGUAGCCGGCCUGAGAGGGUGACCGGCCACAUUGGGACUGAGGUACGGCCCAGACUCCUACGGGGGGCAGCAGGGGGGAAUAUUGCACAAGGGGCGCAAGCCGGAUGCAGCAACGCCGCGUGCGGGAUGACGGCCUUCGGGUUGUAAACCGCGUUCAGCAGGGACGAAGCUUUUUGUGACGGUACCUGCAGAAGAAGCACCGGCUAACUACGUG